AGAAGACGAGCUGAAGU
RNAcentral lists this small RNA (17 nucleotides) under Arabidopsis thaliana (thale cress). RNAcentral's name for it is "ATSL290580". The record is from RNAcentral. Lineage: Eukaryota; Viridiplantae; Streptophyta; Magnoliopsida; Brassicales; Brassicaceae.